Molecule: ribosomal RNA, 253 nt
Filed under: Giardia duodenalis
Lineage: Eukaryota; Fornicata; Diplomonadida; Hexamitidae
Description: Giardia intestinalis partial small subunit ribosomal RNA
Source: RNAcentral
AGCGCGACGCUCUCCCCAAGGACGAAGCCAUGCAUGCCCGCUCACCCGGGACGCGGCGGACGGCUCAGGACAACGGUUGCACCCCCCGCGGCGGUCCCUGCUAGCCGGACACCGCUGGCAACCCGGCGCCAAGACGUGCGCGCAAGGGCGGGCGCCCGCGGGCGAGCAGCGUGACGCAGCGACGGCCCGCCCGGGCUUCCGGGGCAUCACCCGGUCGGCGCGGUCGCGGCGCGCCGAGGGCCCGACGCCUGGC